AGGACGAACGCUGGCGGCGUGCUUAACACAUGCAAGUCGAGCGAGGCCCCGCCUUCGGGUGGGUGUUCUAGCGGCGAACGGGUGAGUAACACGUGGGCAACCUGCCCUCAGCUCUGGGAUAACUCCAAGAAAUUGGGGCUAAUACCGGAUAUGACUGCUGACCGCAUGGUCUGGUGGUGGAAAGAUUUAUCGGCUGGGGGAUGGGCCCGCGGCCUAUCAGCUUGUUGGUGGGGUAGUGGCCUACCAAGGCGACGACGGGUA
RNAcentral lists this ribosomal RNA (261 nucleotides) under uncultured soil bacterium. Its description in RNAcentral is "partial 16S ribosomal RNA". It matches the Rfam family "Bacterial small subunit ribosomal RNA", at positions 26 to 285 of the family's 1533-position model. The record is from RNAcentral.